This 475-nucleotide ribosomal RNA is filed under the name Granulicatella adiacens. Its description in RNAcentral is "bacterial SSU rRNA". It matches the Rfam family "Bacterial small subunit ribosomal RNA", at positions 28 to 484 of the family's 1533-position model. The record is from RNAcentral. Lineage: Bacteria; Bacillati; Bacillota; Bacilli; Lactobacillales; Carnobacteriaceae.
GACGAACGCUGGCGGCGUGCCUAAUACAUGCAAGUCGAACGAGAGCGACCGGUGCUUGCACUGGUCAAUCUAGUGGCGAACGGGUGAGUAACACGUGGGUAACCUGCCCAUCAGAGGGGGAUAACAUUCGGAAACGGAUGCUAAAACCGCAUAGGUCUUCGAACCGCAUGGUUUGAAGAGGAAAAGAGGCGCAAGCUUCUGCUGAUGGAUGGACCCGCGGUGCAUUAGCUAGUUGGUGAGGUAACGGCUCACCAAGGCCGUGAUGCAUAGCCGACCUGAGAGGGUGAUCGGCCACAUUGGGACUGAGACACGGCCCAAACUCCUACGGGAGGCAGCAGUAGGGAAUCUUCCGCAAUGGACGCAAGUCUGACGGAGCAACGCCGCGUGAGUGAAGAAGGUUUUCGGAUCGUAAAACUCUGUUGUUAGAGAAGAACAAGUGCUAGAGUAACUGUUAGCGCCUUGACGGUAUCUAACC